ACCAGUGUGGGGCGCGGCUUAGGGAAGGUGAGCAGAGACCAGGACGGAACGUCAGCUGAAGGACAGGGCCGGCUUGGGGCGUGGCUAGCGCGGGACUGGGCCUAGGGAGGGUGAGCGGAUUUUGGGGCCGGGGACGUCCGCUGAGGAGCGGGGUUGGUAUAGGACGUCGCGAACGUGGGGAGGGGCCUAGGGAGGGUGAGCGGGAACCGCACAAAAGCCGAGGGGCAGGGCCGGUGUAGGACGUGGCCAGCCAUGUGGCGCGGCCUAGGGAGGAUGAGCGGGGAGUGGGUGUCAGGCGAGGGGCGGGACGGGCGUAAUACGUGGUCACCGUGAGGCGGAGCCUAAGGAAGGUGAGCAGAGCGCCCAGACGUGGAAUCAACGACCGGCGGGUCGAGGGAAGUUCUGGAGCCUGGGAACUCCCAAGACCAAGGUGUCAGCAGAUUCAGUAUCCUUGAUGUGCCUGCCUUCUCACUGGGUCCUAACUUGGUAGAGAGAGAGAGAAAGAGAGCUGUGGUGUGUUCCUCUAAGAAUUACUCCAGUCCCUUCACCGGGGACCUCCUCUCAAGACCUCAUCUAAACCUAAUUACCUCUCAAAACGCCCCACCUCCAGCUUUUCCUGCAUACGGUUUGCAUUCUCUGUGAGUGGAAAUCCGGAGGAAGAGACGUGGUGGCCGAACCCUUGAUAAUGCAACUGCAGAAAAAACAGGAUUACCAUACGGAGGAUUGAUGCAGUCAUCAUUGUUGUUAAGAAUGGAGAGCUCACUGCAGGAGAGAUCACUGUGGGGCCAUCCUUCGGACGAGCCAUCUCAGGAGCCCCUAACCGGACCACAGGACCUGUCUGCCCUGAUACCUUAUAAAGAACAAGAAUCUGUGACCCUCAAAGAUAUAGCUGUAGACUUUACCCAGGAAGAGUGGGCCCUGAUGGACACAUCCCAGAGAACGCUGUACAGAGAUGUGAUGCUGGAGAACAUUAGUCAUCUGGUCUCUGUGGGGUGUCAUUUCUUCAGAUCAGAUGUGAUCUCCCCGUGGGAGCAAAGAGGGGAGCUGUGGAGGGAAGAAAGAGGACCUCCCCAAGGCUGGAGUCCAGGCAUGAAUAAAAGCCAUAACAAGCAAGAAAUAAUAUCUAUGCAAGAUAUCUACAUGAAGGACCCACCUAACUGCUGGACAAUACAGAAACGUCAUGCAGGAGAAGACCUCUCUGUAUAUAGUGGGUAUGAAGUUUUCAUUCACACCUACACAUUGACACAACAUGUCUUAACUCACACUAGACAGAAACUCUAUAGAUGCAAUGAAUGUGGAAAACACUUCACCCGAAACGCCAACCUUCAUACCCAUAAAAUAAGUCACACAGGAGAGAAUCCAUUUGCUUGUAAUCAGUGUGGGAGGCGCUUCAGGUAUUUUUCAUCUUUAACUAGACAUAAGCGAAUUCAUACUGGAGAGAAGCCUUAUGAAUGUCAUCUAUGUGGGAAAGCCUUUGUUCGUAGUUCCCUUAAACAACAUCAGAGAAUUCACACUGGCGAGAAACCAUAUACAUGUCCUCUAUGUGGAAAAGGCUUCGUUACAAGGUCUAAUCUUCGAGAACAUGAGAGAACUCACAGUGGAGAGAAACCAUAUAAAUGUCAUCUAUGUGGAAAAGCUUUUGUUCAAAGCUCUUGUCUUAGAAAACAUGAGAGAACUCAUACUGGAGAGAAACCAUAUAAAUGUCAUCUAUGUGGAAAAUCCUUUGUUCAAAGUUCUUGUCUUAGAAAACACGAGAAAACUCACACUGGAGAGAAACCAUAUAAAUGUCAUCAGUGUGGAAAAGCCUUUGUUACAAGCUCUGAUCUUGGAAAACACGAGAAAACUCACACUGGAGGGGAAUCAUAUACAGGUUAUCUGUUUGGAAAAUCUUUUGUUCAAAGCUCUUGUCUUAGAAAACAUGAGGAAACUCAGCCUGGUGAGAAACCAUGUACGUGUCAUCAGUGUGGGAAAGCCUUUGUUACGAGCUCUGAUCUUAGAAAACACGAGAAAACUCACACUGGAGGGGAAUCCUAUACAUGUCAUCUAUGUGGAAAAGCCUGUGUUGAAUGCUCUUGUCUUAGAAAACACGAGAAAACUCUCCCUGACGAGAAACCAUAUACAUGUCAUCAGUGUGGAAAAGCAUUUGUUACAAGCUCUAAUCUUAGAAAACAUGAGAAAACUCACACUGGAGAGAAACCAUAUACAUGUCAUCUUUGUGGAAAAGCCUUUACUCAAAGCUCUAAUCUUCGGGAACAUGAGAGAACUCACACCGGUGAGAAACCAUAUAUAUGUCAUCUAUGUGGAAAAGCCUUUGUUCAAAGCUCUUGUCUUAGAAAACAUGAGAAAACUCACACUGGGGAGAAACCAUAUACAUGUCACCUAUGUGGAAAAGGCUUUGUUACAAGAUCGAAUCUUCGACAACAUGAGAGAAUUCACACUGGAGAGAAACCGUAUAAAUGUCACCUGUGUGGGAAAGCCUUUCUUCAAAGCUGUAAUCUUCGAGAACAUGAGAGAACUCACAGUGGAGAAAAACCUUAUACAUGUCAUCUAUGUGGAAAAGACUUUGUUCAAAGCUCUUAUCUCCGAGAACAUGAGAGAACGCACACUGGUGAGGAACCAUAUACAUGUCAUCUAUGUGGAAAAGCAUUUGUUACAAGCUCUAAUCUUAGAAAACAUGAGAAAACUCACACUGGUGAGAAGCCAUUUACAUGUCAUCUAUGUGGAAAAGGCUUCGUUAUAAGGUCCAGUCUUCGAGAACAUGAAAGAAUCCACACUGGGGAGAAACCAUAUACCUGUCAUCUAUGUGGAAAAGCCUUUCUUCAAAACUCUUACCUUCGAGAACAUGAGAGAACUCACACUGGUGAGAAACCAUAUAAAUGUCUUCUAUGUGGAAAAGCCUUUGUUCGACGGUCUUGUCUUAAAAGACACGAGAAAACUCACACUGGAGAGAAACCAUAUACAUGUCAUCAGUGUGGAAAAGCCUUUGUUACAAGCUCUCAUCUUAGAAAACACGAGAAAACUCACACUGGCAAGAAACCAUAUAUAUGUCAUCUAUGUGGAAAAGGCUUUGUUACAAGGUCUGAUCUUCUAGAACAUGAAAGAAUUCACAUUGGAGAGAAACCAUAUGCAUGUCAUCUAUGUGGAAAAGCAUUUGUUACAAGCUCUGAUCUGAGAGACCAUGAGGGAACUCACACUGCAGAGAAACCAUACGCAUGUCUUCUGUGUGGAAAAGCCUUUGUUACAAACUCUGAUCUGAGAGACCAUGAGGGAACUCACUCUAAUUCUAGUGAAUGAACAUGGAAGUGCCUUCAGCCACAGCGCUAAUGUGAAACCAACCAGAGGACUCAGGUGGGGGAAGUUCCAUGGUCAUAUUCAUUAUGGAAAUGCCUUCAUUUUUAACUUCUCCUUACACAACGUGAGUGAACUGCAUUUGGAGGAACCCUAUAUUUACAAAGGGGAAGAGACAUUAGCUGGCCUCUGGUCAUAGGGUGCACAAGAAAAUCCAGUGAAUAACAGUCUAAUCUCCUUAAAUGGGAAAUGACAAGAAAAUCUUUACAGAAAGAGGUCACUGUAGGAGAAUAACAGAAAAAUUAAUGCUGGAGAAGUUAUUCAUUGUUACAUGCAUGGAAAAAAACUUGACUAGUAGAAAAACCAUUGUAGGCAUGUGAAGUUUCACACUCUGUAUAAUAGUGAACGAAUGGCAGUCUAAAGUGAUUUUUAAUUCCUUAGUCAACAUGUAGUUUCUCACACUGUACAUAUAGCAUUGCUAAAAUCAGAUAAAAGGUUAGACUUUGCAUUAGAAAUCCCUGACUAGGAAAAACAUUUAUCAAGAAAGUCUUAACACACAAUUUAGAUAUUAAUUUAUAAUUUUGCCUAAUGGCCUAUUAUAAAAAUAUAAGAAAGGUAAGAUUGUGACAUCAUCUGGGAAUUCUAAACUCAGAAUUUUGUAACUUUUGUUUUUUAGAAUAGUUCUUGGAACUGGAUAUGAAGCAAAGUUGUUGCUGAAAAAUCCAUUGUGUUGGUCAGGGCCUAUUUUUCAUGCAUCAAUAGUAGUUAUGAUGAUUGGAUUCAACUAGAAAGUGUCUUUGAAUAUUAACCGAAAAACAACACAAGAUGAUGCGUCAUGACUACAUAUUGUUAACCAUGUAUGUGGGUCGUAGUGAUGAACUAAAGAUUGUUACAUAGAUAACUUGUGACUGAAUUCUGUAUAAAUUUUCAUUUUAAAAUGCCAUUAUUGAGGGACAUCUGGGUGGCUCAGUCGGUUAAGCAUUCGAAUUUGAUUUAGGUCUUGAUCUCACAGCUGAAUUCAAGCCCCACGUUUGGGCUCUGUGCUGACAGCUCAGAGCCUGGAGCCUGCUUGAGAUUCUGUCUCAUUCUUUCUCUGCCCCUCCCCCACUGUCUCUCAAAAAUAAACAAAUGUAAAGAUUAAAAAGAAUGAAAUGCCAUUAUUGAGACAAAGAAGGGUAUUACCUAACAAUAAGGGGUCCAUUCAACAAUAGGAUAUAGUGUGUAAAUAUUUAUUCACUCAACAUAGGAGCACCUACAUGUAUAAAACAAAUAUGAACAGAUGUUAAGGGAGAGAGAGUUAUGUAAUAGAAGGGGGGCGUUAAUACACCCUUCCAACAAUGAAUGAAACAUUCAGACAAAAUCAGAAAACAUCAACCGUAAGUGACACGUUAGAUGAGAUGGACUUCAGAGAGGUACACCGCACACUUCAUCCCAAAGCAGCAGAAUAACAUACUCUUGGCAAGUUUCCAUGAGACAUUCUCCAGAAUUGGUCAUAGUUACUGCCUGUUAGUAGCAAUGAGUAAUUUUUUUUUCUCUUUUACCCAAGCCAUGUAAUUGCCCCUAUUCCUCAUUCUCCUAUAAAGCCCUUGCUUUCACCCCACAGAUAGGACACUUUUCUGUUUACUGCUGGAAUCGGUGCUCCCCAAACUGCAAAUCUUUAAUCCCAAGUAAACACUCAUCUGCCUCUCGUUGCAGCUCUUGUUUUCAGGUGGAAAUGGGGACAAGUAAUGUUUCUUUUCCUUUCUUGGCCAGGCGCUACAGAGCGUGACCUGGGAGAGCUGACUUUGGAAGGAACUCUCUAUUCUGGCUCUCCCAGUUUUCAGGAUCCAACCCGCAGCUCCAGAAUGAGUGUGAUCACUCUGCCACUGCCUCAAAACGUGCCAUCAUAGGCCACCAAACGAUUGAAGAAAAAUAAUAGUUAAAAAAAACAUUUUAAUAUUUAUUUAUUUUGGAGAGGGAGAAGGAGAGAGAGCAUGACCAGGGGAGGGACAAGAGGGGGAGAGAGAAAAUCCAAGCCAGGCUCUGCGCUGUCAGUGCAGAGCCCAAUGUGAGGCUCAAACUCAUGAACUGAGAUCAUGACCUAAGCCAAAAUCAAGAGUCAGAUGCUCACUCGACUGAGCCACCCAGGCGCCCCUCCAUUACAUGUUUUGAUGACUGCCCCGCACCGGUGUGUUCGAACUCAACAACUCUGCCACUCACAGCCCCCAUCACUGGUGCACACAGAUUUCCCCAUCUCUGAACCAUUCAGACCCUGGAUUCCAGUUUCACACUGGUCAGGAUCUGGCCUUUCCUUCACCACGUCCCUAACAAGUCUCACAGGCCUGAUGCCAUGAUGCUACUUUCCCUUCUCCCAGGCUCCCCAGUGGCCUGUGGGCCUGUAGUGGACUCGCUGGUGCUCCGGGGUUUGACUGUUGCCAGGCAGACCUUGCUUUUCACCUCCUGCAUGCACUGAUCCCACGGUGAACAAAACGCCCUCGACACACACACAAUCUGAUAACAUGUUCUGACAAUCACAUGUAGAUCUUCCACCCUGACCACACUCUCAACAGACACAAUAAUGGCCAACACCCCCACAGUCAGACAACGCAGGGACACACAACUGUGUACAGAUCAUAUGACUAUAUAGUUUCUGACCACACAGAAUUGGUGACACACAUAUAGUCAUCAUAUAAAGGGAAUCUGGCUGUGCAUGUGUGUUUUGGUGUUGAGGCGUUUCACAUGUUGCCAUCAACAUGACAACCCAGGGCUUAGAGGGGAGAGGCUCAAGGCACAGAAUGUGUGCUGAUGCCCAUCAGAGCCUGGCAGUGCUUGUUCUUGGUAUAUUGUGUAAGAGGCAGGUGGAGCCUAAGGAUCUGCAUACUAAGUGUUUGGUACAAACAUACCAGCCAAAAAAAAUUUUUUUGGUAGAAAAACAUGCAGAAAAUUUAGCCAGGGUCCCGUGAGAAUGCAUGAAGGAUUCAGUAUGAGUCCAAACUGUCAGCUGAGGAUUUUUCCUCAGAAGAUUCAUAUUGCUCUUAAAACUUGCAUAUAAAUGUUGUAUACAUAUAAACACUGAAGCAUUCUUUGCGUUAAAAUAUUUCAAGUAGGGGUAACCUGGAUGGCUCAGUCGGUUAAGUGUCCCAACUUUGGCUCAGGUCAUGAUCUCACAGUUAGUGGGUUCGAGCCCCACAUUGGGCUCUGCACUGGCAGUUUGGAGCCUGGAAUCUGCUUCGGAUUCUGUGUCUCCCUCUCUCUACCCCUCGCCUGCUUGUGCAGGCUUGCUCGCUCUCUCUCUCUCCCAAAAAUAAA
This is an RNA transcript of Neofelis nebulosa (Clouded leopard), 6576 nucleotides long. It is a transcript of the gene named zinc finger protein 14-like, with no coding region annotated. The record is from RefSeq and is a predicted model, not a curated record. Lineage: Eukaryota; Metazoa; Chordata; Mammalia; Carnivora; Felidae. The transcript is spliced from 9 exons.